RNAcentral lists this ribosomal RNA (312 nucleotides) under Triticum aestivum (bread wheat). RNAcentral's name for it is "partial small subunit ribosomal RNA". Lineage: Eukaryota; Viridiplantae; Streptophyta; Magnoliopsida; Poales; Poaceae. The record is from RNAcentral.
AUGUUGGUCUUCAUUCAUCUAAAACAAAUGGUAGCUGUGUUGGCAUGCCUUCCAUUUUGUAGCACUGUCUACAAGGUGGACCUGUGUUGCACUGCUGCUGCUCCAUCCAUGAUAGCGGAUCUGUCUUCGUACAAUUGCACUUCAGUCAAUGAUGGUGCAUCAGCCUCUACAGGCCGGAUACAUGAUGGGACAACCAUUACCUCCACCCCCCCCAUCCACUCAAAGCGUCAACGUCCUGCCUUUGGGUUGUGCUUGUUUACUGCUCAUUUCUCUGCCUAUGUAGGCAGAUUAAUUUUUUGUUUUGUUCCUUGA